Molecule: long non-coding RNA, 884 nt
Organism: Medicago truncatula (barrel medic)
Lineage: Eukaryota; Viridiplantae; Streptophyta; Magnoliopsida; Fabales; Fabaceae
Exons: 2
Source: RefSeq, a predicted model, not a curated record
AGAAAAAAAUAUGGUUAAAAUUCUCAAGUUUAUUCAUAUUAUGAUUAUUUUUCUCAUUUUUAUCAUUGUAACCAACGGUGCAAGUAAUCCUUGUGUAUCUACUAGAGAUUGUACUACUCAUACAUGUAACCCUCCUCUAGUUGCAAGGUGCAUAAAUUUAAGAUGUUAUUGUGGGUAUAAGUAACAAUUAAGUUAAAAAAGAAUUCCAUUAUACUUCUAAGAAUAUAAAUGCAUGUUCAAUUAUAUUGUUGGUACUUUUAUGAUUUUUCCCACAUAUCAAUAUUUGUUUCUCAUCCAUUUGAAAUAAUUGUAAAAUGGUCAAUAGUGCCACUGUUAUCAAUAAUUAUUUUUCUUCUCUUAAUUUGAAUUAAAAAAAUCGGUAUUGGAAAUUUAAAUUUAUUUCAUUGACUCAAUUUUUGUUAAAUUCAUGAGUCAUGCUAUUUCAAGCGAAUUCAUCAGUCUUGAAAAAAAACUGUUUGUGAUCUAUUCAGGAUAAAGAACUUCACGAUAUCGAAUAUUUUCCUAAAAUUAUACAUCAUUUUAAUAAGAGAAGUGCUAUAUAGUACGGGAAUUAUUUUCACGGGAAAUUCACGGACGCUUAGCAAUCUGAUCACGGUUUCUAUUGUUAUGCAGUGCACUAUAUCUCUAUUAUGCAAUUCAGCCAAAGAAAAAGGUGGUCAACACCCACCGUUUCAAUUAAUUUGCUGCACCGUUUGUUUAAUUAAGAAUUCAUUUUAUUAGUGUUAAGAUUAAUUCCCUCAAACAAAAAAAAAUCAGUGUUAAGAUUAAAGAGUGCUAACCUUUCACGACCCAAAAAAAAAAAAGAAUGCUAACCUUUAAACUUUCUUAUAUUAAUUAAAUCACUUACUUUUAAAAAUAAAAAA